AUAACUGUCCUGUUGUUUCCAUAUUUCUCUGGAAUCUGUUGGCUCAUGUCUGAUGCUGCUUUUGCACCAAGUGACUGUGUUUUGAAGUUGUGAGGGGAAGCAGUGGGGAUCCUCCGUGGCUGCAGGUCCCCUGUGCACGAGCACGGCAGUCACUAUGGCCCUCAAAGCCUCCCCUCUGGGGUGUGUGCCCAGGGCUGAUGUGUGGCCUGUGUCACUGAACCAGCCUUGUCCUGCCAGGGACCAUGGUGAGAGGAGGCUUCAAAGGCCCAUAAGGAGGCCACCACAGGGCCAGCCCCAGUGCUCAGGAAACAUUUGGGGCCAGGGCCUUCCCCAGGGCCUGGUUUGAGUGACCACUGCUGCCAAAACAGGCCCAUCCACGACCCUGGGAGCCAUCACCAUCAGGCUGCCUCCUCAUUCCUGGGGCCCUGCAGGGCCUUGUCCCAUUCCCCCUCACCUGGCUUGAUCCUGACCCUCAGUGUGAAAGUCAGGGUGGAUGAAGUAGAAGGGGCAAGCCAUAGGAAAACAGAACAGUGGAUGCCAGGAGAGUAAAGCAGGAUCUUACAGCCACACCCGGCAUACUGUAACCAUGACUCAGUCUUGUGUUCAUCUUAUGCAGCAAAGCUAUCGGCCUAAUUUUGCAAGGCUGUUGGGAGUGGUUGAGAGUACACUGCUGUUGCUGAUACCAGUAAGAACAGAAAAGAUGGAUGAAAGUGGUAAGAUGAAAUUGUAAAUAAAAUCAGUGUUUUUUGUGUUUUUAUAUUACUUAAGAACUUUGGGAUGGAGCCAGAAACUGCCUGACUCAUUGUAAGGUCCUCUGUUUGUUGAUCUCCUUUAGGAGAUCCUU
Long non-coding RNA from Cygnus olor (mute swan), 844 nucleotides. RefSeq lists it as uncharacterized. The transcript has 3 exons. The record is from RefSeq and is a predicted model, not a curated record. NCBI's taxonomy places the organism in Eukaryota, Metazoa, Chordata, Aves, Anseriformes, Anatidae.